This 860-nucleotide ribosomal RNA is filed under the name uncultured bacterium. RNAcentral's name for it is "SSU rRNA". It matches the Rfam family "Bacterial small subunit ribosomal RNA", at positions 524 to 1381 of the family's 1533-position model. The record is from RNAcentral.
GACAGAGGAGGCGAGCGUUGUUCGGAAUUACUGGGCUUAAAGGGCGAGUAGGCGGCGCAGCAAGUCUGAGGUGAAAACCUAUGGCUUAACCGUAAAACUGCCUUGGAUACUGUUUCACUUGAGUCAGUGAGGGGAGGACGGAAUUCCCGGUGUAGCGGUGAAAUGCGUAGAUAUCGGGAGGAAGGCCAGUGGCGAAGGCGGCCCUCUGGCGGUGAACUGACGCUGAAGCGCGAAAGCGUGGGAAGCAAACAGGAUUAAAUACCCUGGUAGCCCACGCCCUAAACGAUGGGCAUUAGGUGUAGGGUCCGCAAGGCUUCUGUGCCGAAGGGAAACCAUUAAAUGCCCCGCCUGUGGAGAACGGCCGCGAGGUAGAAACUCUCAGGAAUUGAGGGGGGCCCGCACAAGCGGUGGAGAAUGUGGGUUAAUUCUACGCUACACGAAAAAACUUACCUGUGCUUGACAUGUUAGUGGGAAAAACCCGAAAGGGGAAUGACUUGCGGGUAACCCCUUGAGCUAACGCAGGUGCCGCAUGGCUGUCGUCACCUCGUUCCGUGAGGUGCUGGGGUAAGUCGCGCAACGAGCGCAACCCUUAUCCUCUGUUGGUUGGAAACCACCUCUCUGAGGAAACCGCCGGCGACAAGCCGGAGGAAGGUGGGGAUGACGUCAAGUCCUCAUGGCCCUUAUGUCCAGGGCGACACACGCGCUACAAUGGCCGGUACAGAGGGUUGCAAUACCGCGAGGUGGAGCCAAUCCCUAAAAGCGGUCUCAGUUGGGAUCGGAGUCUGCAACUCGACUCCGUGAACUCGGAAUCGCUAGUAAUCGUGGAUCAGCCAUACCACGGUGAAUACGUUCCCGGGCCU